AUCGAACCCGGAGAUAGCUGGUUCUCCUCGAAAUAGCUUUAGGGCUAGCCUCAUGGAUCAUUGAUGGGGGUAGAGCACUGAAUGUGCGCGGGGGCCACAAAGCCUACCAAACGCUAUCAAACUUCGAAUACCAUACAAUGCAGACCAUGGGAGUCAGUCCGCGAGAGAUAAGUUCCGCGGGCAAAAGGGGAACACCCCAGAUCAACCGCUAAGGUCCCCAAGUUCACGUUAAGUGGAGAAGGAUGUGGAAUUGCACAGACAACCAGGAUGUUGGCUCAGAAGCAGCCACACAUUUAAAGAGUGCGUAAUAGCUCACUGGUCGAGUGAUUGUGCGCCGAAGAUGUCCGGGGCUAAACGUGACACCGAAGCGAUGGGCGCAUCUGAAGAAGAUGCGCGGUAGAGGAGCAAUGUGCAGAGGCAGAAGCCGUAUCGAGAGGCACGGUGGACACUGCACAAGAGAGAAUGCCGGUAUGAGUAGCGAGAGGCAUGCGAGAAACAUGCCCGUCGAAAGCCCAAGGUUUCCUGGGGAAGGUUCAUCCGCCCAGGGUAAGUCGGGGCCUAAGCCGAGGACGGAAGUCGUAGGCGAUGGACAGCAGGUGUAGAUUCCUGCACUACCGAUGGAAUGAAGCAGUGACACAGAAGGAUAACUCGAGCAGGGUGAUGGUCAACCCUGUGCAAGCAUCGAGGUUGGGUUGUAGUGAAGUACGCAACCCUAUAAGCUGAGGUGUGAUGCGGACCGAAAUUUCAGUAGGGAAGCGAGUGAGUUCACGCUGGCGAGAAAAGCUGCUAGUAUAUCCAAAGGUACCCGUACCGGAAACCGACGCAGGUGGGCGAGGAGAGAAUCCUGAGACGAACGGGAGAACCCUUGUUAAGGAACUCGGCAAAAUGACCCCGUAACUUCGGGAGAAGGGGUGCCUCGAAAGAGGCCGCAGAGAAUAGUCACAAGCGACUGUUUAGCAAAAACACAGGUAUCUGCGAAAGCGAGAGCUGACGUAUAGGUGCUGACGCCUGCCCGGUGCUGGAAGGUUAAGGGGAAGUGUUAGGGGAAACCCGAAGCAGAGAACCGAAGCCCCAGUAAACGGCGGCCGUAACUAUAACGGUCCUAAGGUAGCGAAAUUCCUUGUCGGGUAAGUUCCGACCCGCACGAAUGGCGUAACGACUUGUGAGCUGUCUCAACAGGAGGCCCGGUGAAAUUGAAGUAUGUGUGAAGAUGCACAUUACCCGCGACUGGACGGAAAGACCCCGUAGAGCUUUACUGUAACCUGACAUUGGAUCUUGAUAACGGAUGCACAGGAUAGGUGGGACGCUGGGAGACGAGGACUUUGGUUUUCGUGGAGCGGCCGUUGGGAUACCACUCUUCUGUUAUUGAGAUUCUAACCUCAAGCCGUGAGCCGGAUGAGAGACAGUGUCAGGCGGACAGUUUGACUGGGGCGGUCGCCUCCGAAAGAGUAACGGAGGCGCCCAAAGGUACCCUCAGAAUGGAUGGAAACCAUUCGAAGAGAGCAAAGUCAGAAGGGUGCUUGACUGCGAGACCAACAAGUCGAGCAGGUACGAAAGUAGGGCUUAGUGAUCCGGCGGUAAGAGAGUGGAAUUGCCGUCGCUCAACGGAUAAAAGCUACCUCGGGGAUAACAGGCUGAUCUCCCCCAAGAGUUCACAUCGACGGGGAGGUUUGGCAC
This 1677-nucleotide ribosomal RNA is filed under the name human gut metagenome. Its description in RNAcentral is "bacterial LSU rRNA". It matches the Rfam family "Bacterial large subunit ribosomal RNA", at positions 832 to 2524 of the family's 2925-position model. The record is from RNAcentral.